This 92-nucleotide transfer RNA is filed under the name Thermoprotei archaeon. RNAcentral's name for it is "tRNA-Glu". It matches the Rfam family "tRNA". Rfam says of the family: Transfer RNA (tRNA) molecules are approximately 80 nucleotides in length. Their secondary structure includes four short double-helical elements and three loops (D, anti-codon, and T loops). Further hydrogen bonds mediate the characteristic L-shaped molecular structure. tRNAs have two regions of fundamental functional importance: the anti-codon, which is responsible for specific mRNA codon recognition, and the 3' end, to which the tRNAs corresponding amino acid is attached (by aminoacyl-tRNA synthetases). tRNAs cope with the degeneracy of the genetic code in two manners: having more than one tRNA (with a specific anti-codon) for a particular amino acid; and 'wobble' base-pairing, i.e. permitting non-standard base-pairing at the 3rd anti-codon position. RNAcentral also lists the same sequence under 1 other name. Lineage: Archaea; Thermoproteati; Thermoproteota; Thermoprotei. The record is from RNAcentral.
GCCCCGGUGGUGUAGCCCGGCAAGCAUAGACCUGUGUGGGGUGCAACGGCCUCUCGAGCCGCAGAUCCCGGGUUCAAAUCCCGGCCGGGGCA